GACCCAUCCAAAGGCAGUGAAUUAUCUUAAUUGAUUGUUCACAGUUAUAGAUCAAACUCCUUGUUAUGCUCUUUCCCCCUUCUCACUACUGCACUUGACUAGUCUUAA
Molecule: Y RNA, 108 nt
Rfam family: Y RNA
About the family: Y RNAs are components of the Ro ribonucleoprotein particle (Ro RNP), in association with Ro60 and La proteins. The Y RNAs and Ro60 and La proteins are well conserved, but the function of the Ro RNP is not known.
Source: Ensembl